UUGUCAGGCUGCAACUCGCCUGCAUGAAGCUGGAAUUGCUAGUAAUCGCGGAUCAGCAAGCCGCGGUGAAUACGUUCCCGGGUCUUGUACACACCGCCCGUCACACCAUGGGAGUCGGAAAUGCCCGAAGUCUGUGACCCAACCUGAGAGGGAGGGAGCAGCCGAAGGCAGGUCUGAUGACUGGGGUGAAGUCGUAACAAGGUAGC
Molecule: ribosomal RNA, 206 nt
Filed under: uncultured bacterium
Lineage: Bacteria
Description: partial 16S ribosomal RNA
Rfam family: Bacterial small subunit ribosomal RNA
Source: RNAcentral